UACGUAGGGUGCAAGCGUUAAUCGGAUUUAUUGGGCGUAAAGGGCGCGUAGGCGGACGAGAAAGUCAGAUGUGAAAUUCCGGGGCUCAACCUCGGAGCUGCAUUUGAAACUUCUCAUCUAGAGGGUAGGCGGAGAAAACGGAAUUCCACAAGUAGCGGUGAAAUGCGUAGAUAUGUGGAAGAACACCAGUGGCGAAGGCGGUUUUCUAGCUUACACCUGACGCUGAGGCGCGAAAGCAAGGGGAUCAAACAGG
Molecule: ribosomal RNA, 253 nt
Filed under: uncultured bacterium
Lineage: Bacteria
Description: partial 16S ribosomal RNA
Rfam family: Bacterial small subunit ribosomal RNA
Source: RNAcentral